Molecule: ribosomal RNA, 465 nt
Filed under: Vreelandella stevensii
Lineage: Bacteria; Pseudomonadati; Pseudomonadota; Gammaproteobacteria; Oceanospirillales; Halomonadaceae
Description: partial 16S ribosomal RNA
Rfam family: Bacterial small subunit ribosomal RNA
Source: RNAcentral
CCUACGGGAGGCAGCAGUGGGGAAUAUUGGACAAUGGGGGGAACCCUGAUCCAGCCAUGCCGCGUGUGUGAAGAAGGCCCUCGGGUUGUAAAGCACUUUCAGUGAGGAAGAACGCCUGGUGGUUAAUACCCAUCAGGAAAGACAUCACUCACAGAAGAAGCACCGGCUAACUCCGUGCCAGCAGCCGCGGGAAUACGGAGGGUGCGAGCGUUAAUCGGAAUUACUGGGCGUAAAGCGCGCGUAGGUGGCUUGAUAAGCCGGUUGUGAAAGCCCCGGGCUCAACCUGGGAACGGCAUCCGGAACUGUCAAGCUAGAGUGCAGGAGAGGAAGGUAGAAUUCCCGGUGUAGCGGUGAAAUGCGUAGAGAUCGGGAGGAAUACCAGUGGCGAAGGCGGCCUUCUGGACUGACACUGACACUGAGGUGCGAAAGCGUGGGUAGCAAACAGGAUUAGAUACCCUGGUAGUC